AGAGUUUGAUCCUGGCUCAGGACGAACGCUGGCGGCAUGCCUAACACAUGCAAGUCGAACGGAGUUAUUAUUCAGAAGUUCUUCGGGAUGGAAGGAUAAGAACUUAGUGGCGGACGGGUGAGUAACGCGUGGGUAACCUGCCCUUUUGUGGGGAACAACUUCGAGAAAUCGGAGCUAAUACCGCAUAAUAAUAGAGGAUCGCAUGAUUCUUUAAGGAAGGAUGGCCUCUGAAGAUGCUAUCGCAAAAGGAUGGACCCGCGUCUGAUUAGCUAGUUGGAAGGGUAACGGCCUACCAAGGCAAUGAUCAGUAGCCGGCCUGAGAGGGUGAACGGCCACAUUGGGACUGAGACACGGCCCAAACUCCUACGGGAGGCAGCAGUGGGGAAUCUUCCGCAAUGGGCGAAAGCCUGACGGAGCAAUGCCGCGUGAGUGAAGAAGGCCUUCGGGUUGUAAAACUCUGUCCUUAUCGAAGAGAGGUAGGUAUGUGAAUAAUGUACCUAUAGGACGGUAGAUAAGGAGGAAGCCCCGGCUAACUACGUGCCAGCAGCCGCGGUAAUACGUAGGGGGCGAGCGUUGUCCGGAAUCACUGGGCGUAAAGGGCGCGUAGGCGGUUUAAUAAGUCAGUGGUGAAAACUGAGGGCUCAACCCUCAGCCUGCCACUGAUACUGUUAGACUUGAGUAUGGAAGAGGAGAAUGGAAUUCCUAGUGUAGCGGUGAAAUGCGUAGAUAUUAGGAGGAACACCAGUGGCGAAGGCGAUUCUCUGGGCCAAGACUGACGCUGAGGCGCGAAAGCGUGGGGAGCAAACAGGAUUAGAUACCCUGGUAGUCCACGCCGUAAACGAUGGAUACUAGGUGUUAGUAGUUUCGAUGCUACUAGUGCCGGAGUAAACACAAUAAGUAUCCCGCCUGGGGAGUACGGUCGCAAGACUGAAACUCAAAGGAAUUGACGGGGGCCCGCACAAGCGGUGGAGCAUGUGGUUUAAUUCGACGCAACGCGAAGAACCUUACCAAGCCUUGACAUCCCCCUGGAUGGCCCGUAACGGGGCCAGCCCUUUUUGGGCAGGGGAGACAGGUGGUGCAUGGUUGUCGUCAGCUCGUGUCGCGAGAUGUUGGGUUAAGUCCCGCAACGAGCGCAACCCU
This 1140-nucleotide ribosomal RNA is filed under the name uncultured bacterium. RNAcentral's name for it is "bacterial SSU rRNA". It matches the Rfam family "Bacterial small subunit ribosomal RNA", at positions 8 to 1105 of the family's 1533-position model. The record is from RNAcentral.